AAUGGCCGCGAGCUAGACGGGGUAUUGACGCGGUUCAAUUCGAGAGCUCGAGCCCUAGCAGAGGCCAGGGGGGGUGGGGCUCUGCUCUCUGAUUGAGCCGUGCCAAUAUCACGUCCCACUCGCCCUCGC
This 129-nucleotide microRNA precursor is filed under the name Zea mays. The record is from RNAcentral. Lineage: Eukaryota; Viridiplantae; Streptophyta; Magnoliopsida; Poales; Poaceae.